Molecule: ribosomal RNA, 459 nt
Filed under: uncultured bacterium
Lineage: Bacteria
Description: partial 16S ribosomal RNA
Rfam family: Bacterial small subunit ribosomal RNA
Source: RNAcentral
CCUACGGGGGACAGCAGUGAGGAAUAUUGGUCAAUGGUCGGGAGACUGAACCAGCCAAGCCGCGUGAGGGAUGAAGGUACAGAGUAUCGUAAACCUCUUUUGUCAGGGAACAAAGGCGGGGACGUGUCCCCGGAUGAGUGUACCUGAAGAAAAAGCAUCGGCUAACUCCGUGCCAGCAGCCGCGGUAAUACGGAGGAUGCGAGCGUUAUCCGGAUUUAUGGGGUUUAAAGGGUGCGCAGGCGGUCUGUUAAGUCAGCGGUCAAAGCCCGGGGCUCAACCCCGGCCCGCCGUUGAAACUGGCAGUCUCGAGUUGGAGAGAAGUAUGCGGAAUGCGCGGUGUAGCGGUGAAAUGCAUAGAUAUCGCGCAGAACUCCGAUUGCGAAGGCAGCAUGCCGGCUCCACACUGACGCUGAGGCACGAAAGCGUGGGUAUCGAACAGGAUUAGAUACCCUGGUAGUC